RNAcentral lists this ribosomal RNA (255 nucleotides) under uncultured marine eukaryote. RNAcentral describes it as "partial 18S ribosomal RNA". It matches the Rfam family "Eukaryotic small subunit ribosomal RNA", at positions 1202 to 1456 of the family's 1831-position model. The record is from RNAcentral.
ACGGCGGGGAACCUCACCAGGCCCGGACACCGGAAGGAUUGACAGAUUGAGAGCUCUUUCUCGAUUUCGGUGGGUGGUGGUGCAUGGCCGUUCCUAGUUGGUGGAGCGAUUUGUCUGGUUAAUUCCGAUAACGAACGAGACUCUGGCCUACUAACUAGUCGUUGGGUUGUCUUGUACCGGCUUCGGUCGGUCGCCCGUCGCAACUUCUUCUUAGAGGGAUCCGCGUCAUCUAGACGAAAAGAGACUGAGCAAUAA